GACGAACGCUGGCGGCGUGCUUAACACAUGCAAGUCGAACGGUGAAGGGACCGGUUUUUGCUGGUUCUGGAUGAGUGGCGAACGGGUGAGUAACACGUGAGUAACCUGCCCCCUUCUUCUGGAUAACCGCAUGAAAGUGUGGCUAAUACGGGAUAUUCUGCGCCUGCUGCAUGGUGGGUGUGGGAAAGAUAUUGUUUCGGUGGGGGAUGGGCUCGCGGCCUAUCAGCUUGUUGGUGGGGUGAUGGCCUACCAAGGCGGUGACGGGUAGCCGGCCUGAGAGGGUGGACGGUCACACGGGGACUGAGACACGGCGCAGACUCCUACGGGAGGCAGCAGUGGGGAAUAGUGCACAAUGGGCGCAAGCCUGAUGCAGCGACGCCGCGUGAGGGAUGGAGGCCUUCGGGUUGUAAACCUCUUUCGCCAGUGAAGCAGGCCUGUCCCUUUUGUGGGUGGGUUGACGGUAGCUGGAGAAGAAGCGCCGGCUAACUACGUG
Molecule: ribosomal RNA, 493 nt
Filed under: uncultured bacterium
Lineage: Bacteria
Description: partial 16S ribosomal RNA
Rfam family: Bacterial small subunit ribosomal RNA
Source: RNAcentral